UCUACAAAUACACUUGAACAUGUGUAUAUGCCAUGGUUUGUUUUAUUUAUUGCAACUCUGUUGCCCAUUUGAAUUUUUUUUUUCAACGGUUUUUUAUUUAUUUUUGGGACAGAGAGAGACAGAGCAUAAACGGGGGAGGGGCAGAGAGAGAGGGAGACACAGAAUCGGAAACAGGCUCCAGGCUCUGAGCCAUCAGCCCAGAGCCUGACUCGGGGCUCGAACUCACAGACCGCGAGAUCGUGACCUGGCUGCAGUCGGACGCUUAACCGACUGCGCCACCCAGGCGCCCCUCUGUUGCCCAUUUGAAAAGAUUUGAAUCACUCUCACCGGCCAUCAGCAGGGGACUGGUUAAAUUAUGGUUCAUCUGUACACAAGAACAGGAUAUAGUUGUCUAAAAGAAUAAGGAAGCUCUCUAUACACUGCUAUAACACAUCUUUAUGAUACGUCGGUUGCUCGCUGAAAAAGGCAAAGUACAAAACACUAAAUGGUCAUGUAACAAAGUUUUGGCCAGUGAAAUAUGAGAAGAGAUCUACUGGAACAUCCUUCCUUUUUUUAACCAUCUUGAAUGAGGGCAAGAGUGACAGCAGCCACUGUGCAGCCAGAAUAGAAAGAACAUGAAAAUCACAGAGAUGCUGGUCCCUACAUCUUUGAGCCAAUGGACCACCUACCUCCAAACUUCUUAUGAAGGCCCCAAACCACAAACACAAAGGAAGCUUCCGUGGAACAGGAUUACAGCACUGCCAGCACCCAGGUGCAACCAGCAGCAGAAAUGGCCAAGACAGGAAACAUCAGCACCAGCAGCGCAGAGACCUCCAUGUAGCAUGAAGGUCAGGUGUCCAGGUGUGGGAGGAUAACCAGGGCGGGACAGAGGGAGGCAGGAUGCAAGAUGCUUUCAUCAAAGGUCCCAGGUGGAUGCAGGGUGCAGAGUGUGCUUGCUGUGCACCUGCUGGACACCUCUCAUUUCCUGGAAGUCACUUGGGGAGGUAUGGUGUUGCACUUGAAGUAGCACUUGGGAGCUGAGAGAGGGCCUGUACCCAUCCCUAAGGACCAUAUGUGCCCUGAGGACUGGACUUUGCAGACAGCAAAGUGGAGCCAGUCCUGUAGGCCUUAAAAAUAGGCACCAGCCAGAAGCCACAAGGUGUCCCCUAAGCUGGUGGGGAAAAAAAAAAAACCCAGGAAGGCAGCCUCCAGGGCCCUGGCACCAGCCUGGAGACAGGGGCUUCUGGCCCAGGAAGGCCUAGAUGAGUGAGAAAUAAGAAAGAGAACACAAAUUUGCAAAGGAGAUGGAUGAGCAAAGGCUGGUCCCGUGAGGGUUUGGAGAUGAACAACAAGGUUCUCAUCAUCAGCCCUAGGUCAGCCCAUCAGGGGGUCAGUAUUUAGUGCCUCAAGUCAGAUAAGGUGCCAAAGCCAGGCUUGGUCAUAGCUGAGAGGAGUGACCUGACAGAGGAGUCCAAAACACUGAGGUUGGACAAGGGAGAAUGGGAGUCUCCACUUGGAUUUGCCAGAGAUCUCUCCAGCCCAUUGUGUCCUAAAUUCAUUCCUCGCCCACCCGUUUCCUCUUUUCUCUACAGUGUUCAUAAUAUCCUGAACCUCCCAAUCACUCGGGUUCAAACUUGGGGGUUAUCAUGAGCCCUUCCUCUCUCUUGCCCUGAAAAUUCUACCUCCUAUCCCUUCUGACUCUCCGUGCUCUCGGCCACUUGCCUAACUCAA
This is a long non-coding RNA of Panthera uncia (snow leopard), 1710 nucleotides long. RefSeq lists it as uncharacterized. Lineage: Eukaryota; Metazoa; Chordata; Mammalia; Carnivora; Felidae. The transcript has 3 exons. The record is from RefSeq and is a predicted model, not a curated record.